Molecule: long non-coding RNA, 793 nt
Filed under: Cricetulus griseus (Chinese hamster)
Lineage: Eukaryota; Metazoa; Chordata; Mammalia; Rodentia; Cricetidae
Description: lncRNA (ENSCGRG00000025682.1)
Source: RNAcentral
CUUAAAAUGUUCUCUGUGAAUAAAAUGCUCCUUCCUAAAAGCUGUUUCUGAUGAAUUCUCUACUUUUUUUUUUUUUUUUUUUUUUUUUUUUUUUUAAUUAGGAAUGGCUGGCCAGCACUACCCGGAAUGAAUGGAUCAUAGUGAUGAGUGCAACCCUUGAACAACUCUCAAGCUGUGCCCUUCUUGAGUCCCUCCUGCUGACCUUGGGCAGCCCUGUGCUUGCUAGUGAUUUCUUGGAUCCAAAACAAGAUCUGUGUAUUUAUUUCUUUGAAAACAUCAUUUGAAUAGUGGAGAGGCCACCUUAAAAAGCUCUUCUCUGAUAAUGAGAUUGAUGACUACCUUAUAUGCCAUCCUAGAGCUUUCAUCCAAUAGCUGAUGGAAGCAGAAGCAGACACCCACAACUAAACACUGGCUGAACCCUGGAACCCAGUUGCAGAGAGGGAAGAGUAAUGAGUAAAGGGGUCAAGACCAGGCUGGAGAAAGCCACAGAAACAGCUGACCUGAACAAGGGGUUGUUCAUGGACCCCAGACUGAUAGCUAGGAAACCAGCAUAGGGCUGUUCCAGACCCCCUGAACGAGGAUGUCAGUUUGGAGGUCUAGUUAAUCUAUGGGGCAGCAGUGGAACAGCAUUUAUCCCUAGUGUACUUAUGGACUUUGGGAGCCCAUUACACAUAGAGGGAUACUCUCUCAACCUAAACACAUGGGGGAGGGUCUAUGCCCUGCUCCAAAUGAUAUGACAAACUUUGAAGAUCCACCAUGGAAGGCCUCACCCUCCCUAGGGAGCAGAAAGGGG